UGGGGUGUAGCCAAGAGGCCCAAGGCACCGGAUUUUGAUUCCGGCAUUCCCAGGUUCGAAUCCUGGCACCCCAGCCA
Molecule: transfer RNA, 77 nt
Filed under: Acidiferrobacteraceae bacterium
Lineage: Bacteria; Pseudomonadati; Pseudomonadota; Gammaproteobacteria; Acidiferrobacterales; Acidiferrobacteraceae
Also listed under: 1 other name
Description: tRNA-Gln
Rfam family: tRNA
About the family: Transfer RNA (tRNA) molecules are approximately 80 nucleotides in length.
Source: RNAcentral